AAGAUAGGUGAAGUUGAGCCAAACAAAUGAACAUGCAUGUGCCUUAGAUGCUAAAGGGAGAAGUCGGCUAACAUGUUGUGCUUUAAAAUGAUGAAAUGGAGAUUAUACUUAAGUAAAAUCAUAGAUAUGUGAUGAUUGAUUGGUGAUAUACAUGUUUAAAUAACAUGCAUGCAAGUUAUGUAUGAAAGAGUGAAUUUGGUAAUAAAUCUGCUUGGGACAGCAGCAGUAACGUGACUUUGGAAAAUCACCAUAAAUUGUGAGAGAUGAGUUAGAAGGUGAAUAAAUUAAGUAAUUAAAGCUUAAUGAGUAUAAUUUCAAAUGAAAUAAACGAGAACAUAUUUUGAAUUCUGUACAAUGAGAAAUUUGAUUCGUAAUGAAGAGUGGUCAGAUUAGUCAAAUAGUGAAACAUGGGAAACUUUAAGAAAAAUCUGGUAUUGAUUGGCCAUACCAAAAAUUCUGAAAAUUUUAUGGAUAUAAGAUAUAUGAGUCUAUUUUCAGAGAAAAUUAACGGCACUUGAUUUGGAGUUUCAUAGCUCCAGUUAUAAAUGAUUUAGUGACUGUUGCUCAGGAAGACAACUUGCAGUGAAAUUAUGAUUAUGUGGUAAACACUGACAAAAAUUUGUUAAUGAGUUGCUUAUUGAUUUCUUAUAAGCUUACUCUGAUCUGUAGGUGUGGUUGGCCGAAUAUUGUAAGGGGUUAAUAUGUAGUUUGUGUUUGAAUAGUUAGAUUAACGUGUUAGUAAUCCAAUUGUAGGCGGUUCGUGUGUGGAUCUCGUCAGCAUAUCGUCGCAAACAGGUGUGUAACUGACACCCUCUCAUAGACUAGAUUGGCAAAAGCCGAAAAGCUGAAAUGCCGAAAAGUCGGUAUUUUGGGAAUUUGUGAGUGUGCGAAUGCUCGUAAGAUAGUUGGGUUUGUAUAUUUGGUAAUCUAAAGUAAUAAACUGCAGUACGAGCGGUUUCGUACAUUUUGAUAAUUUGGGCUUAAUGGGCCAAAGAUCGGGUUCAUGGGCCAACGGGCCCAAUUCGGUAAGUAUGCGCGGUAAGUGUUCUGAUAGUACGUAAAUAGUUAGGAUAUGCAUGAAAACCCUAAAAGUAGCUAAAUUACUAUAAUACCCCUAUGUAUGGAAAAUUAUUGUUAUACCCCUAGGUGCAAAAUUACCGUUAUACCCUUAGGGUUAAUUUUGACUGAAAAGCAUGACGAUCUGAUUCUGUAUGAUGUAUGCCAUGAUUAUAUAUCUGUUGCAUGGGGACAUGGGUUAUAUUAUGGAGGAAGCGUCCUAGUGGCUAUGCCACAAUUAUCUGAUCUGGUGGCUCUGCCAUAUAUAUCUGUUUUAGUGGCUAUGCCACGAUUAUUUGAUCUGGUGGCUCUGCCACAUAUACUUGUUCUGGUGGCUCUGCCACAAUAUCUGUAUCUGGUGACUUCGUCACAAUAUCUGGCAGCCUCGCUGCGAUUUCUGUGGUGUGUAGCGGUUGGGUGGGUCGAGUAGUCUCCCCACAUGGUGUAAGGCUGGUACGGGGGUGUUAUGGAUGAAUCUGGGUUGGAUUUCUGCAUAAACAUGUAAUAUCUAUUCUGUUCUGUUAUGGGCCUAUGGGCUUUAUUCUGAAUUUUGUUCUGGGUUAAGGCCAACUUAUUCUAUUUCUGUGGUUUGAGUUGAUAUAGGCUAUGGUUGGGUUAUUUUACACACUGAGUUUCCCCAAACUCACCCCUUUUAUUUUCAUCCACGCAGGUAAUCCCCAACCAUAGUGGGCUUGGAGCUGUGAGGGAAUUCGGAGUGGCCACCCGUUCUAAAAGUUUGAUUUUCUUCUAGUGAACUAGACAUCCUUUUAUUUACGUUUGAAGUUUUGGAUUUUUAAAUGUAAUAAGGCC
RNAcentral lists this long non-coding RNA (1866 nucleotides) under Gossypium barbadense (sea-island cotton). Its description in RNAcentral is "long non-coding RNA (GBAR_LNC010390)". Lineage: Eukaryota; Viridiplantae; Streptophyta; Magnoliopsida; Malvales; Malvaceae. The record is from RNAcentral.